Molecule: long non-coding RNA, 441 nt
Organism: Salvia miltiorrhiza (redroot sage)
Lineage: Eukaryota; Viridiplantae; Streptophyta; Magnoliopsida; Lamiales; Lamiaceae
Exons: 3
Source: RefSeq, a predicted model, not a curated record
UUCAUACUUGUCAGCUGAAAAUUACACGAUCCUCAUCCAUCCAAACCACCCCAUUUUUCUUUUAUAAUCUACACCAUUCUUCACCCAAACCUCACCACUUCACCAUUUCUAAAUUCUGCAGUCUCAAUUUCACACAGCAAGUUAAGAAAUAAAUAUCUUCCACCACACCUAUUCAAGGUUGAGCGGGUGAUGGAAUGGAGUGGAGUUGAGCGGAUGUACCUUUUGACAUAGAACAAUAAUGAAACCUUGAGUAUACAUCUUCAUAUGUAUAACUCACACGUAUUUCCGCUGCAAGAUACUCUGAUUAUGCUAAUGUUUUAUUUUAAGUAUAAUACUCUUUUGUUGGGUAAUCCACUUCGACGGGCCUUCCCGAACAAACGUCUUGUAUUUGCCCAAGUGAUCAGUUAUGAUCCUAGUGUUAUAUAAUAAAUGUCUCUUUUC